Molecule: ribosomal RNA, 777 nt
Filed under: Tropha zambiensis
Lineage: Eukaryota; Metazoa; Arthropoda; Insecta; Coleoptera; Coccinellidae
Description: partial 16S ribosomal RNA
Rfam family: Archaeal large subunit ribosomal RNA (bases 1-575)
Source: RNAcentral
CUCUUUUUGAAUAUAAUUUAAAGUAGGGCCUGCCCACUGAAUUUUGAAGGGCCGCAGUAUAUUGACUGUGCAAAGGUAGCAUAAUCAUUAGUUUUUUAAUUGAAAGCUGGAAUGAAGGGUUUGAUGAGAAAAUUUCUGUUUCUAUUUUAAUAAAAGAAUUUUAUUUUUAAGUUAAAAAGCUUAAAUAUUUUUUAAAGACGAGAAGACCCUAUAGAGUUUAACUGAAAAUUAAAAUUUUAAAUUUAAGAAUUAAAUUUUAAAAUUUUAAAUUAAGUUUUGUUGGGGUGACAGAAAAAUUAAUUUAACUUUUUUUUUAUUUUUACAAUAAUAUUUGAUUAUUUGAUCCAUAUAAAUGAUUAAAAGAUUAAAUUACCUUAGGGAUAACAGCGUAAUUUUUUUUAAAAGUUCAAAUUUAAAGAAAAGAUUGCGACCUCGAUGUUGGAUUAAAAUUAAUUUUUGGUGCAGAAGCUAAAAAAUUGGGUCUGUUCGACCUUUAAAAUUUUACAUGAUCUGAGUUUAAACCGGUGUGAGCCAGGUUGGUUUCUAUCUUAAAGAAAAGAGAAUAUUCUAGUACGAAAGGAUCGAUUAUUUUAUUAAUAAUAUUUAAAUGAAUAAAAUUUUUAUUUUGGCAGAAUAGUGCGAAGGAUUUAGAAUCUUUUUAUGUAAUUAAUUACAAAUAAAAAUUGAUUUUUUAUUAAUUUUGGUAAAUUUUUUAAUUUUAUUUAUUGGAGUUUUAGUAGGUGUAGCAUUUUUAACUUUAUUAGAACGAAAAUUAUU